This 742-nucleotide ribosomal RNA is filed under the name Cladosporium ramotenellum. RNAcentral describes it as "LSU rRNA". It matches the Rfam family "Eukaryotic large subunit ribosomal RNA", at positions 98 to 866 of the family's 3401-position model. The record is from RNAcentral. Lineage: Eukaryota; Fungi; Ascomycota; Dothideomycetes; Cladosporiales; Cladosporiaceae.
GCAGCAAUAGCUCAAAUUUGAAAUCUGGCGUCUUCGACGUCCGAGUUGUAAUUUGUAGAGGAUGCUUCUGAGUGGCCACCGACCUAAGUUCCUUGGAACAGGACGUCAUAGAGGGUGAGAAUCCCGUAUGCGGUCGGAAAGGCGCUCUAUACGUAGCUCCUUCGACGAGUCGAGUUGUUUGGGAAUGCAGCUCUAAAUGGGAGGUAAAUUUCUUCUAAAGCUAAAUAUUGGCCAGAGACCGAUAGCGCACAAGUAGAGUGAUCGAAAGAUGAAAAGCACUUUGGAAAGAGAGUUAAAAAGCACGUGAAAUUGUUAAAAGGGAAGGGAUUGCAACCAGACUUGCUCGCGGUGUUCCGCCGGUCUUCUGACCGGUCUACUCGCCGCGUUGCAGGCCAGCAUCGUCUGGUGCCGCUGGAUAAGACUUGAGGAAUGUAGCUCCCUCGGGAGUGUUAUAGCCUCUUGUGAUGCAGCGAGCGCCGGGCGAGGUCCGCGCUUCGGCUAGGAUGCUGGCGUAAUGGUCGUAAUCCGCCCGUCUUGAAACACGGACCAAGGAGUCUAACAUCUAUGCGAGUGUUCGGGUGUCAAACCCCUACGCGUAAUGAAAGUGAACGGAGGUGAGAACCGCAAGGUGCAUCAUCGACCGAUCCUGAUGUCUUCGGAUGGAUUUGAGUAAGAGCAUAGCUGUUGGGACCCGAAAGAUGGUGAACUAUGCCUGAAUAGGGUGAAGCCAGAGGAGACUCUU